Molecule: ribosomal RNA, 1455 nt
Filed under: Triticum aestivum (bread wheat)
Lineage: Eukaryota; Viridiplantae; Streptophyta; Magnoliopsida; Poales; Poaceae
Description: partial small subunit ribosomal RNA
Source: RNAcentral
AUGGCGAAGCACGGAAGGCGCCCUGUAAACAAGUAUGCAUUUGCCACCGCCGUGCUCUCGACUGCGACACCCCUCUUCUUGGGCUACGACCUGGCCAUGGUGAGCAGCACGGCCGUGCUCGCCGAGGCCGACCUGAAGCUCCUAGCGUGCAUCGUCGUGCUCUCCUCCCUCGUGGGCGCGCUCACCGCCAUGGUAGCGCAGUGCCUCAUCGGUGACCGCCGCACCGUCCUCCUGUCCGCCGUGGUGCUCUGCGUUGGCGCGCUCACCAGGGGGCUCGCCGCCGGCCCCGCGGCGUUCACGGCCGGUGUCUUCGUCGACGGCAUCGGCAUGGGCCAGGCGCUCAUGAUCGUCCCGGCGUACGUCGCCGAGCUCUGCUCCUCCUCGCUGCGCGGCGCCCUCAUCUCCCACCCGGACGGCUUCGUGUACCUCGGCUGCAUUCUUGGCUCCCUCUGCUACUCCACGGGCUUCUCGAAGCUCCCGGCGCACCUCGCCUGGUGGCUGACCAUAGUCUCCGGAACGGCCGUUCCGACCUCGCUCACCUGCGCCGUCCUUCUCAUGCCGGAGUCGCCCCGGUGGCUCGUGGCCAGGGACCAGAUGACCAAGGCCCGGCGCGUGCUCUCCAGGACGUCAGCGACGCUGGAGGAGGCAGAGCUCCGUUGGCUUGAGAUAAAAGCCGAGCUCGGCACACCGCACGAUGGCAUCGAAGAGACGGUGGCAACGUCGGUGAGACGUAACCGGUGGAAGAAGGAGUGCGCGAUAUGGCGGGAGCUGCUGGCGAGGCCGACGGAGCCUCUCCCCCGCGCGGUCGUCAGCGCGCUGGUCGCCAAGGUCUUCGCGUCCGCCAUGGGGUCCAUGUCCCAGUACGUGCAGCGCGGCUUCCUCGACGUCGGCGUCUCGUCCGCCCGGCAGAUGCCGAGGGCGCUGCUGGCGUUCGGGAUCGCCGUGGUGAUGUCCUUCUCCGUGUCGCUGGUCCUCGUGGAGCUCGGCUUGCUGCUGGUGACGGCACUCGCAGGUAGCCGCGCGCCGUCCCACCCCCUGCCUCACCGCGGCGGCGGCCACGUCGGCAUGACCCGGCGGCAAGAGCAGCUGAAGCGGUCGAGGGGGCUGUCCGCGACCAUGCUGAUGUCGCUGAUAGCGCUGGUGUGGAUCGCGCCCGGGCCGGCGCAGUGGGCGGACGCAUCGUCGUCGUCGUCCGGCAGCAGCCGGUGGCUGGGGGCGGCGGCGGCCAUGGUGGACAGGGCGUUGGUCCUGUGGAGCUUCGCGAGGGCGUACGGUGCCAGCUCCGUCCCCGUGCACGGGAGCUUGCUCGUUUGCCCGGCGGUCGGCGUGCUCGUGUGGUUCUUGUUUUGUGCGUGCCUUCUCGGCGCGAGGAGGAGGCGAGCCAGCUUCAUUCACGUACGGUCUUUCCCAAUAACCACGUCCGCCGCUAGUCUAGCGAGCUUGGUUCACGGCUGA